Molecule: ribosomal RNA, 496 nt
Filed under: uncultured bacterium
Lineage: Bacteria
Description: bacterial SSU rRNA
Rfam family: Bacterial small subunit ribosomal RNA
Source: RNAcentral
UCAGGAUGAACGCUGGCGGCGUGCUUAACACAUGCAAGUCGAACGGAGUUUUUAAACGGAAGUUUUCGGAUGGAAGUUUAAGAACUUAGUGGCGGACGGGUGAGUAACGCGUGGGUAACCUGCCUCAUACAGGGGGAUAACAGUUAGAAAUGACUGCUAACACCGCAUAAUAUAGCGAAACCGCAUGAUUUUUGCUAUCAAAUAUUUAUAGGUAUGAGAUGGGCCCGCGUCUGAUUAGCUAGUUGGUGGGGUAAAAGCCUACCAAGGCGACGAUCAGUAGCCGGCUUGAGAGAGUGACCGGCCACAUUGGGACUGAGACACGGCCCAAACUCCUACGGGAGGCAGCAGUGGGGAAUAUUGGACAAUGGGGGAAACCCUGAUCCAGCGAACCGCCGCGUGAGUGAAGAAGUAUUUCGGUAUGUAAAGCUCUAUCAGCAGGGAAGAUAAUGACAGUACCUGACUAAGAAGCCCCGGCUAACUACGUGCCAGCCGCAGC